CGUACUAGCCGGGGAGAUAGCGGUGCCCUGUAGCCUGCAAUCCGCUUUAGCAGGGGUGAUGUCCUGCCUAGGGUGCUUGCUUGUGAAGCUGCCCGUGGCAAGUGGUGUUGACGCGAGGGUCCCCGCGCAACGGGAACCUGUGAACCGUGUCAGGGCAGGAAUGCAGCAGCACUAAGCAGGAGCUUUCGUGUGUGCCGCGAGAUCGCCGUCGCUGAGCUUACUGCCAUGGUAACGUUUGUGAGCGGUGCUCGAAGC
This 255-nucleotide signal recognition particle RNA is filed under the name human oral metagenome. RNAcentral describes it as "Bacterial large signal recognition particle RNA". It matches the Rfam family "Bacterial large signal recognition particle RNA". From Rfam's summary of the family: The signal recognition particle (SRP) is a universally conserved ribonucleoprotein involved in the co-translational targeting of proteins to membranes. Archaeal SRP consists of a 7S RNA and homologues of the eukaryotic SRP19 and SRP54 proteins. In most bacteria, the SRP consists of a 4.5S RNA and the Ffh protein (a homologue of the eukaryotic SRP54 protein). The record is from RNAcentral.